AGAGCGAACGCUGGCGGCAGGCCUAACACAUGCAAGUCGAGCGCCGUAGCAAUACGGAGCGGCAGACGGGAGAGUAACACGUGGGAACGUGCCCUUCAGUUCGGAACAACCCAGGGAAACUUGGGCUAAUACCGGAUACGUCCGAAAGGAGAAAGAUUUAUCGCUGAAGGAUCGGCCCGCGUCUGAUUAGCUAGUUGGUGAGGUAACGGCUCACCAAGGCGACGAUCAGUAGCUGGUCUGAGAGGAUGAUCAGCCUCACUGGGACUGAGACACGGCCCAGACUCCUACGGGAGGCAGCAGUGGGGAAUAUUGGACAAUGGGCGCAAGCCUGAUCCAGCAAUGCCGCGUGGGUGAAGAAGGUCUUCGGAUUGUAAAGCCCUUUCGGCGGGACGAUGAUGACGGUACCGCAGAAGAAGCCCCGGCUAACUUCGUGCCAGCAGCCGC
Molecule: ribosomal RNA, 444 nt
Filed under: uncultured bacterium
Lineage: Bacteria
Description: SSU rRNA
Rfam family: Bacterial small subunit ribosomal RNA
Source: RNAcentral